RNAcentral lists this long non-coding RNA (968 nucleotides) under Oryza sativa (Asian cultivated rice). RNAcentral's name for it is "long non-coding RNA (OSAT_LNC001445)". The record is from RNAcentral. Lineage: Eukaryota; Viridiplantae; Streptophyta; Magnoliopsida; Poales; Poaceae.
ACCUUUGAUGUGCAUUCCUGUUUUUUUUUUCCUUCGCCUUCCUCACUCCUUGCUUAUGUAAUGGUAGUGUUCAAGUUUGUGGAGCAUCCUGAGAAUAAUGAGAAGCCAUUAGAUCAGAAGUGCAAGGUUAAGUUCAAGAUUGUCAGUCUGAAGGUCAAAGGACCUAUGGAGUAUGUCCCAGAACUGGUAUGUUUUCUUUUAAUCUUUAGCUUGUUCAAAAGUUUUAAUUUUGAUGCUUAAUGCGUUCUCAGUUUUGAAAGACAAGGACUUAUAGAAUUACAUCCCACACCCUCACUAGUAAUUCAUUCAUAUUACCUGAAGUUUUAGUGACCUUGAUAUUAAUAUCAAUUUUUUUUCACCUGUAACACAAAAUAAUACAGUUCGUUUGUUAUGAACCUCCACAUAUUUUGUCCAUUUUAGCAGUGCAUGGUCUAAAGUGUUACCCUUAUGUUACAGUUUGAUGAGCAGAAAAACCAGGUAGCAGUUGAGCAAAUUCUGCGUGUUGUAUUCUUGGACGCUGAGCGUCAAACCCCAGUAAGUUUCAGCAAUUGCUUUUACUCUUAAUGCAACACAGUUGUGAAUAAUAGAAAGUUUACCACAAAUUUGCACUUUCUGCAGCAAAUGGACAAGCUCAAGCGCCAGCUUGCUGAAGCAGAGGCAGCACUUGAAGCACGCAAGAAACCUCCAGAGGACACCGGCCCCCGCAUUGUUGGUGAAGGCCUUGUAAUUGAUGAAUGGGUAAGAUCAGGGCACAGAAUUCUUAAUGACAGUUGUCUGGUCUUUUACUAUUGUGUUAGUGGCUGUCUCAUGUGACCAUAUAACAUUUCCUUAUUUCCCCUUAUUUCAGAAGGAGCGAAGAGAGAGAUACCUUGCUCGUCAGCAGAUUGAAGGGGUUGAUUCAGCGUAGACACGGCACCAUGAACUGUAAACCAUUGGUUGCUUGAACAUAUCGUUUUAUCGUCGCCACA